AUACGGAGGGUGCAAGCGUUACUCGGAAUCACUGGGCGUAAAGCGCGCGCAGGCGGCUAUUUAAGUUGGAUGUGAAAGCGUACGGCUCAACCGUAGAACUGCAUCCAAAACUAUUUAGCUAGAGUGUGGGAGAGGAAGAUGGAAUUAGUUGUGUAGGGGUAAAAUCCGUAGAGAUAACUAGGAAUACCAAAAGCGAAGGCAAUCUUCUGGAACACUACUGACGCUGAGGCGCGAAAGCGUGGGGAGCAAACAGGAUUAGAAACCCCAGUAGUCC
RNAcentral lists this ribosomal RNA (274 nucleotides) under uncultured bacterium. Its description in RNAcentral is "partial 16S ribosomal RNA". It matches the Rfam family "Bacterial small subunit ribosomal RNA", at positions 523 to 796 of the family's 1533-position model. The record is from RNAcentral.